This 460-nucleotide ribosomal RNA is filed under the name uncultured bacterium. Its description in RNAcentral is "partial 16S ribosomal RNA". It matches the Rfam family "Bacterial small subunit ribosomal RNA", at positions 338 to 795 of the family's 1533-position model. The record is from RNAcentral.
CCUACGGGAGGCAGCAGUGAGGAAUAUUGGUCAAUGGGCGCGAGCCUGAACCAGCCAAGUAGCGUGAAGGAUGACUGCCCUACGGGUUGUAAGCUUCUUUUAUAAGGGAAUAAAGUGAGGUACGUGUGCCUUUUUGUCUGUACUUUAUGAAUAAGGAUCGGCUAACUCCGUGCCAGCAGCCGCGGUAAUACGGAGGAUCCGAGCGUUAUCCGGAUUUAUUGGGUUUAAAGGGAGCGUAGAUGGGUUGUUAAGUCAGUUGUGAAAGUUUGCGGCUCAACCGUAAAAUUGCAAUUGAUACUGGCAGCCUUGAGUACAGUUGAGGUAGGCGGAAUUCGUGGUGUAGCGGUGAAAUGCUUAGAUAUCACGAAGAACUCCGAUUGCGAAGGCAGCCUGCUAAACUGCCACUGACAUUGAUGCUCGAAAGUGUGGGUAUCAAACAGGAUUAGAUACCCGGGUAGUC